Molecule: long non-coding RNA, 273 nt
Filed under: Parus major (Great Tit)
Lineage: Eukaryota; Metazoa; Chordata; Aves; Passeriformes; Paridae
Description: lncRNA (ENSPMJG00000019460.1)
Source: RNAcentral
CUGGAAUGGAAUUUCCCUGUGACAGCCUGCAAGGCUCCCAAGGGCGCUCCUGGCAGAAAUCCAGACACGACUGAGAUGGACCUGCUGCGUCCGGCUCGUGUGGCUUUCCACAAACAUCUAAAACAUCGCUUUGCUUCACCUGCUUUCAACUUUUCCUCUGAGACUUGUCACAGUUCUAGUCACAGCUCAUCACUGAACUACUCUGGGGUUCUAGCAAGAGGGGUGGACUCAGAAUGGGAGGAGAACAGAUGCUUUCAACCUCUGCUGCUAUGA